Molecule: ribosomal RNA, 253 nt
Filed under: uncultured bacterium
Lineage: Bacteria
Description: partial 16S ribosomal RNA
Rfam family: Bacterial small subunit ribosomal RNA
Source: RNAcentral
UACGGAGGGUGCAAGCGUUAAUCGGAAUUACUGGGCGUAAAGCGCACGCAGGCGGUUUGUUAAGUCAGAUGUGAAAUCCCCGGGCUCAACCUGGGAACUGCAUCUGAUACUGGCAAGCUUGAGUCUCGUAGAGGGGGGUAGAAUUCCAGGUGUAGCGGUGAAAUGCGUAGAGAUCUGGAAGAAUACCGGUGGCGAAGGCGGCCCCCUGGACGGGGACUGACGCUGAGGUGCGAAAGCGUGGGGAGCAAACAGG